Molecule: long non-coding RNA, 580 nt
Filed under: Brassica napus (rape)
Lineage: Eukaryota; Viridiplantae; Streptophyta; Magnoliopsida; Brassicales; Brassicaceae
Description: long non-coding RNA (BNAP_LNC024725)
Source: RNAcentral
ACCAUAUGGAAAAACAAGAACUAACACAUAUGUGCGAACAAGAAAAUCUAUAAAAACUUCUCAAAAAGUCUUUAGAGUAAAUUACUCACAAAAACUUUUCAAUAAGUCUCAAGAGUAUACUUCAGUUGUUUGGACAUCAUCAGCAACAUUAUCUCAUCCAACCCUUCAUCAAAAUCUUAAUCAACAAAACUACUACCAUUACCAUCAAACACAUCCACAUUGUCGUCAAGCCCAACUUCUUUAUGGCAUUGACUUGAUAAACAAAGUCAUACAAUACAAUACACAUCUUAGAUAACUCGAUCAAGUUCCACACUUGUCUAUCAUUCGUGACAUGCAUAUGAGCAGUAUCCAGAGGUAUUUCCUGUAACAUUAGGUCUCGUAAGGAAUAAAUUAACUCCACCAUCUCAAUUUUUUGUCCACAUCAUAAUCUUUUUGUGCCAUUUCAAGAAACUCACGAUAUGUACAACCAUCAUAUAGAAAGCAAAUUUUCCCUCCUUUCCGAUCAUCAACCACAAACUCCCACAAAGAGUUUUUCACCACCCACUCUCCGUAUACAACAGAUAAUUGUACCAUUCCCAGC